GACGAACGCUGGCGGCGUGCUUAACACAUGCAAGUCGAACGGAAAGGCCCUGCUUUUGUGGGGUGCUCGAGUGGCGAACGGGUGAGUAAAACGUGAGUAACAUGCCCUUGACUUUGGGGUAACUUCACGAAACUGGGGCUAAUAUCGGAUAGGAGCUCCUGCUCCAUGGGGGGGGUUGGAAAGUUUCGGCGGUUGUAGAUGGAAUCGCGGCUUAUCAGCUUGUUGGUGGGGUAGUGGCUUACCAAGGCUUUGACGGGUAGCCGGCCUGAGAGGGUGACCGGCCACAUGGGGACUGAGAGACGGCCCAGACGCCUACGGGAGGCAGCAGUGGGGAAUAUUGCACAGUGGGCGGAAGCCUGAUGCAGCAACGCCGCGUGCGGGAUGACGGCCUUCGGGUUGUAAACCGCUUUCGCCUGUGACGAAGCGUGAGUGACGGUAAUGGGUAAAGAAGCACCGGCUAACUACGUG
This 468-nucleotide ribosomal RNA is filed under the name uncultured bacterium. RNAcentral describes it as "partial 16S ribosomal RNA". It matches the Rfam family "Bacterial small subunit ribosomal RNA", at positions 28 to 507 of the family's 1533-position model. The record is from RNAcentral.